Fusarium proliferatum ET1 is the source of this 79-nucleotide non-coding RNA. The record is from the annotation of a RefSeq genome assembly. NCBI's taxonomy places the organism in Eukaryota, Fungi, Ascomycota, Sordariomycetes, Hypocreales, Nectriaceae.
GCUAACUUGGCCGAGUGGUUAAGGCGCUGUGUUUAGGCCGCAGUGGGAAACCGCGGAGGUUCGAACCCUCCAGUUAGCA